GAUGUGUCGAGCACCUCAGAUGAGGUGGU
This 29-nucleotide small RNA is filed under the name Bombyx mori (domestic silkworm). Its description in RNAcentral is "ovarian small RNA-16173". The record is from RNAcentral. Lineage: Eukaryota; Metazoa; Arthropoda; Insecta; Lepidoptera; Bombycidae.